GUGCUCGCUUCAGGAGCACACAUACUAAAAUUGGAAUGACACAGAGAAGAUUAGCAUGGCCCCUGCGCAAGGAUGACACGCAAAUUUGUGAAGCAUUCCAUACUCCU
Molecule: small nuclear RNA, 107 nt
Filed under: Procavia capensis (Cape rock hyrax)
Lineage: Eukaryota; Metazoa; Chordata; Mammalia; Hyracoidea; Procaviidae
Source: RNAcentral